CUGGGAUAAGCGCUGGAAACGGCGUCUAAUACUGGAUAUGUGACGUGACCGCAUGGUCUGCGUUUGGAAAGAUUUUUCGGUUGGGGAUGGGCUCGCGGCCUAUCAGCUUGUUGGUGAGGUAAUGGCUCACCAAGGCGUCGACGGGUAGCCGGCCUGAGAGGGUGACCGGCCACACUGGGACUGAGACACGGCCCAGACUCCUACGGGAGGCAGCAGUGGGGAAUAUUGCACAAUGGGCGAAAGCCUGAUGCAGCAACGCCGCGUGAGGGAUGACGGCCUUCGGGUUGUAAACCUCUUUUAGCAGGGAAGAAGCGAAAGUGACGGUACCUGCAGAAAAAGCGCCGGCUAACUACGUGCCAGCAGCCGCGGUAAUACGUAGGGCGCAAGCGUUAUCCGGAAUUAUUGGGCGUAAAGAGCUCGUAGGCGGUUUGUCGCGUCUGCUGUGAAAUCCCGAGGCUCAACCUCGGGCCUGCAGUGGGUACGGGCAGACUAGAGUGCGGUAGGGGAGAUUGGAAUUCCUGGUGUAGCGGUGGAAUGCGCAGAUAUCAGGAGGAACACCGAUGGCGAAGGCAGAUCUCUGGGCCGUAACUGACGCUGAGG
RNAcentral lists this ribosomal RNA (600 nucleotides) under Microbacterium sp. RNAcentral's name for it is "bacterial SSU rRNA". It matches the Rfam family "Bacterial small subunit ribosomal RNA", at positions 138 to 751 of the family's 1533-position model. The record is from RNAcentral. Lineage: Bacteria; Bacillati; Actinomycetota; Actinomycetes; Micrococcales; Microbacteriaceae.